GCAUUUUGCAAUAUUGAACUUCUAGGACAUCCAAAAGAGGGUUUUUGGAAAAGUAGAGGAUUGAUCUCAUUUGACCCUCCUCUAACCUAAUUGGUAGGUAUUCCGACGCAACGGUACGCUCGGUUCGGCAAUCCGACGAGUGUACGCGGAGAUAUCGAAGAUCUAAGCCGCUAAUGUACAGAUUGCCACAGCACGCGGCGAAAGCUUCCAAAAAUCUUGGAAACGGAAUCGUAGCUUCAAGACAUCACCAAGAGGUGGGGGGUGUCAUCCUGAAGCAUUCGGGUUUCUUUUUAUGUCUAAGUUAAUUAUGUUGAUCAUAUUGCGCUAUAGGAAUAGUAGUUGUACAUUUCCAUUUCCUUGCAUGCUUUCUUGGUAGUGUAGCGGGGUGAGCUUGACACGUGGACUAGGAUAGCAUGAGGAUUGGGUCUUGUGACAUAGAAUCCUAUAGCGGCAUAAAGAGCCGAACUUGGACAUAGCCUAGUAGAGUGACAAUGAACUAGUGUGGUAGAAGCACUAUGACAUAAAUGAGUGGCAUGUAGAAGAAUUGAAAUAUUUACUACAGUGACUGAACUAGUGGCAUCGAGUCUAGUGUAUUAAACUUGACUUAAACUUAGGGAUAGUAGAAGUCCCAACAUUGAUUGUAUAUCAUGAUUGUGCAGCAGAGGCACAUUGACCCUAGUAGACAGGGUAUCCUCUUGAGAGGAUUGGAUCAUACUCACUAGUCUAUUUUGCUUGUCGGUGGUCGCUCCACCGAGGCACGAGUCUCCGGAGUACUUCACUAGGGGCAGACGUAGUUGUCCCGCAGACGGUCUGGGUGUGCGAGUGCAGCUUCUCCUCACCUAUGAGAUUGAGAGUGAGUCGAGGGUUUAACCUUCGGGUUAACCAAGUAGAUUGGGUAAUAAACAUGAAAUGCAUAGUAGACUUGCAUUAUUACCUUGAGUAGACAUAGUGUAUGUUGUAGAUUACAUUGCUAUGUACCUUUAUAUACUCAUGACAUGAUACUAGCAUAAUAGUAGUUGUUGCAUGCAUUAUUAUUAUUGAUGGCAUGAUAAAGUAGUUGCAGUUCAUUUUCUAUAUUAGAUAUCUAUCUCUCUAUCUGUGCCAGCUUAGACCUAGUGGAAAAACUGGCGGCGUCGGCGGCCGAACCCACUAUGAACUAUAUUCAUAUAGUUCUCACUCCGUGUGGUUUUGGGGUACAGGUACACACAGAGGCGAGCCAAGCGAAGAUCGCGGCAAGGGCAUAGCACCCUAAGUGAGUUAGUUAGUAGCUUUCCAUCAUAGAUUAGAGUACCCUCGUAUACUAGAUACCAUAUAUAUUUUGGAUAGAUGUUCGAGAGCUAUGAUGUAUUGGAAGAAAACAUGUAUUUAUAUUUUGGAAUAUGAAAAUGUAAUCAACUGAUGUAAAUGUUGAAUGGUUGUAAUAGUUAGACUAUCUCUUUUUAUACAUGUAUAUUACUUGUGGUUCUUGCUCUUAGAUGUAUUGCACUUGUGUGCAUCGUAUCGAUCAUGUAUGUUAUUUAAGCAUUCCCUGGCCGCUUAACUGUACAUGAUCUUGUUGCUUGGCCUUGGGCAGACAGGAGAGGUGCUGUUCGUUCGACGGUCCGUCCGGCGCGCCCGAACCGUGCUAAUUUGGUAGUGGAUUCGGGGUGGGGCGUGACAGAGAGUUGUUGGUAUCAGAGCAAUUAAGAGCAAGUAAAGAGAGAGUCUAGGAUGGACCUAGGAGACCUAGGUUGGCAACCCUAAGGUGAUAAGUACAUGAGAGAAACGUAAACCUGAAUUGGUUGAGAAAGAAUUCGAUUGGGUCGGAUCGAGCAUAGAUUUCUAGUGUGGCUAGAGAUAGAUCCGAACGGUGUUAGUUUCUUAGCUCGAGGAGUUUGUGUUGGCGGCCGACAACACAACGCUAAGAGUUAGAACUAAUAUACUAGUGUACGUCCGCUUAUGGCGGAGUUGAGUCGCGUAAUACCGCAUAUGCGACGAAAUUAAGUGGGUUAGAUGACUAACCCGGUUGUUGCGUUGCAGGAACGAUGUCCCCAAGACGCUACGUACGUAGGUCCGUUGCGGCACCGUAUUCUGAGGUGCCCGAGGAAACCGGAUCUAGUGAAGUGCAGGAACUACGGGCGCAGGUGUCGGCAUUGACCGGCAUUGUACAGCGCCAGGAGAGUCGGUUCGAGCAGCUCGAAGGGCUUAUGGAGCGGCAUUUUGCGGCGGCAACUGCAGCUGCGACUGAGGGCCGUGGUCCGCCCUCGCCUCCAGCACGUGCGCCUACGGCGGCUGAGGGCGAGGGCAUUGCGGCAGUUUCGGUGGCGGCACAUCCCCCACCGGCGAGCGUUCCUCCGGCGGCGUCGGGUUCUACGACACCCAAUGCGGCGGCAUUGGAGGCGGAGAGGAAGCGCGCACUUGCAGCUCUCGAGAAGUUCCGAAGGUUCAAUCCACCGACCUUCGAGGGAGAGAAGGUCGAGCCAUGGAUGGUUGAGUCGUGGGUGGACUCAAUGGAGACCUUGUUCGAGGACCUCUACACCUUGGAGAGGGACAAGGUCUACCUCGCCACUCAUUGCUUGAAGCGGACAGCGAAGGUUUGGUGGAAGCGAAUCAAGAGGAACCGAGCUUCCGACCUUCCGCCGUUGACGUGGGAGGAGUUUCGGGGAUUGUUUUAUGUCAACCACUUCCCCGAUAGUGAGAAGAAGAAACUCCAAGAGGAAUUUCCAAAAUUGAAGCAGGGUAGCCGCACGGUAGCGGAAUAUGAGCGGGAGUUCUCUCACAUCAUUGACUGCGUCCCCGACGUAGUGCGGGAUGACAGGGAUCGAGCCGAUUGGUUCGGGCGAGGGCUCCGGGCUGAUAUCUACUGGGCGGUGCACAUAUUGAAGCUCACUACCUUCGCGGAGGUGCUCGACAGAGCGUUGUGGGCGGAGCAAGGAAACGCCCACAUCCGGGAUGAGCGAGAAGCGUUCGAGAAGGACGGUGGUAAGAAGCGGGCUCAGAGUAGCUCGGGAGCUCAAACUAAGUCAAGGAAGCCCCCGAAGUACCCGCGAACGCAAUCCAAGGGCCGCGGACCGCAGCGGUGCACAAUCUGUGGUGGGAACCACGAGCCAAGGACGUGUGAUCAACGGGAAGGGAAGUGCUUCACGUGUGGACAGGCGGGCCAUAUCAGCCGCCACUGUCCAGUGAGGGCUUCGCCGGCCCCUUCGGUCACGUCGGCUCCGGCGACUCCGGCGCAUUAUGGAGGAGUCCCACCUGCUGCGUCAUCGGCUGGACGUGCAAUGGUACCACGCCAACCUGAGGCAACGAGAUCGGCUCCGAGCGGGCGGGUGUUCACCGCCCAAACUCAAGCCGAGGAACCUGCUGAGGCGGAGGACAGCCAUGUACUCGCAGAUAUGGUUUUAAUUAACGGAGUUCGCUCCAGGGCCAUGUUUGAUACAGGUGCUACGCAUUCAUUCAUCAGUAGGUCAUUUGCAUGCAUGCAUGACAUAGAACUACAAGAGAAUAAAAGCACUUGGAGGGUAUCGGGCCCUGGACGUGAUUUUCUAAUCCGGAUGGAGUGUUCGUCUUGUCCAGUGCGGUUGGGCGAUUGGAUAAUGCCCAUCCGUAUGUUGAUGUUCAAGAAGUUGAAGGACUUCGACGUCAUUCUAGAAAUGGAUUGGCUCUCGAAGUACUAUGCGACUAUUCACUGCAGAAGUAAAGUAAUAACGUUUCGAGAACCGGGCCAGGAGGAAUUCACCUACCAGGCCUGUAGAAGCUCGCGCUUCGCUGCUAUGGUGUCGGCGACGAGGGCAAGGAAGUUGAUUAACAGCGGUUGCGUGGCCUAUUUGGCGACCGUUGUGGAAGUCGAGAGGACGGCUCCUACACUUGAGGAGUUAUCCGUGGUUUGGGAAUUUCCAGAUAUGUUUCCCGCGGAGUUUUCGGGAAUGCCGCCAGACCGGAAGAUCGAGUUCGUGAUAGACUUGGUACCCGGAACCGCGCCUAUCUCGAAGGCCCCGUAUCGGAUGGCACCGGCGGAAUUGAAGGAGUUACGGGCUCAAUUGAUAGAUCUCCUCGAUAAGGGAUUUAUACGGCCAAGUGUAUCGCCGUGGGGAGCCCCGGUUCUAUUCGUGCAAAAGAAGGAUGGAUCGUUUCGACUCUGCGUAGACUAUCGCGAGUUGAACAAUGUCACGAUCAAGAAUAAGUACCCGUUGCCCAGGAUCGAUGAUUUAUUUGAUCAGUUGCAAGGAUCUCGGGUUUAUUCAAAGAUUGACCUGCAGUCCGGUUAUCACAAACUCAAGAUUAAGCCAGAAGACGUUCAAAAGACCGCGUUUCGCACGCGGUAUGGACACUACGAAUUCACGGUCAUGCCGUUUGGGCUCACUAAUGCCCCGGUAGCGUUCAUGGAUUUAAUGAACCGUGUUUUCAAGGAGUACUUGGACCGAUUUGUCGUGGUCUUCAUAGACGACAUUUUGGUCUACUCGCGCAGCGACGAGGAACAUGCCGAGCAUUUGAGAAUCGUGCUUCAAAUCCUUCGGGAGGAGAAGUUGUAUGCUAAGUUUAAAAAAUGAGACUUUUGGCUCCUAGAGAUUGCAUUUCUUGGGCAUGUCAUUUCCGAAGGAGGAGUAUCUGUUGACCCGAGAAAAGUGGAGGCCAUCAAGGAUUGGCCCCGCCUAACUAACGUCAUGGAAGUACGUAGCUUCGUGGGUUUGGCGGGUUAUUAUAGACGGUUGGAGGGAUUCUCGAAUAUUGUGAGUCCACUUACCCGUCUGACUCGGAAAGGCACCAAGUUCAUUUGGAGUAACGAGUGUGACCGGAGUUUUCAAGAGUUGAAUGAUAGAUUAACUUCGACUCCGGUGCUCGCCGUACCGGUGCAAGACGAAGACUUUGCGGUGUAUAGCGACGCGUCGCAAACGUGCUUGGGGUGUGUUCUGAUAAAGGGCGGGAAGGUAAUCGCUUAUGCGUCCCGUCAGUUGAAGAGCUAUGAGAAGAACUACCCUGUCCACGACUUGGAGUUGGCCGGAGUAGUGUUUGCUCUCAAGUUAUGGAGGCACUACUUGUAUGGCGCGCAUUGCGAGAUAUACACGGACCACAAAAGUCUGAAGUACCUGUUUACACAGAAGGAGCUCAAUAUACGGCAACGGCGGUGGCUGGAAUUGCUAAAGGAUUUUGAUGUUACAAUCCUAUACCACCCCGGAAAAGCAAAUAUGGUGGCCAACGCGCUUAGCAAGAAGUCAGUGGAGAAUCUUGCUAUGUUGGUCACACGUCAAGAACCACUGCGGAGAGAGAUGGAACGAUUGGAUCUCGAAGUGGUAGCUCCGGAAAUCCCGUCUAUGCUUACGGCUCUCGUUGCCGAACCGACCUUGUUGGAGCAGAUUAAGAGUUUGCAAUAUGCAGACCCCAAUCUCCAAAAGGUGCGGCGAGACAUCGAGAGUGGACAUGGCGGUGAUUUCAGUGUAGACGAUGAGGGUGCGCUUCGAUUUCGAAACCAAUGGUGCGUACCGGAAAACGAGGAGGUCCGGAAGUUGAUCUUGUAAGAAACACAUCGGACUCCUUAUAGUAUUCACCCGGGCGGCACCAAGAUGUACCGUGAUCUGAAGAUGCAGUACUGGUUGCCGGGUAUGAAAGCGGAUAUUGGGCGCUAUGUAGCGCAGUGCCUUGUAUGCCAGCAAGUGAAGGCUGAGCGGCGAUUUUCAGCAGGAAAGCUCUAAAGUUUACCUAUUUUCGUUUGGAAAUGGGAAAAUAUCGCGAUGAAUUUCAUAGUCGGAUUGCCCGUUCGACGGGUGGCCAUGACGCGAUCUGGGUGAUUGUGGAUCGUAUGACUAAGUCGGCACACCUUCUACCGAUUCACACCACCUGGUCGAGCGACAAGUUGGCGCAGGUAUACUUGGAUGAAGUUGUGAGGUUGCACGGGGUUCUGAAGUCGAUCGUGUCAGAUCGAGACCCCCGUUUUACUUCGCACUUUUGGAAAAGCCUGCAAGAAGUACUUGGCACACGACUCGAUUUCAGCACCGCGUUUCAUCCUCAGACAGAUGGACAGUCAGAGAGGACUAUACAAAUUCUGAAGGAUAUGUUGCGGGCGUGUGUCAUUGACUACAAGGGUAGUUGGGCAAACCAUUUAAGGAUGGCCGAGUUUGCCUACAAUAACAGUUAUCAAGCUAGCAUUGGGAUGGCACCGUUCGAGGUCCUAUAUGGACGGAUGUGCCGAUCCCCUAUAUGUUGGAGCGAUGUAGGUGAACCUGCGGCAUUGGGCCCAGACAUAUUGCGAGAGGCGGAAGAGAAGGUUCGUCUCGCUCGCGAGAGACUACUUACGGCACAGUCGAGGCAAAAGAGCUAUUUUGACAAACGCCGUAGAGACUUGGAAUUCGCGGUAGGUGACCGCAUUUUCUUGAAGGUUUCGCCGAUGAGAGGUGUGAAACGCUUCGGAGUGCGGGGAAAGCUAAGUCCCCGAUAUAUUAGGCCUUUCGAAGUGUUGGAACGGGUUAGAGCGGUAGCGUACCGACUUGCAUUACCACCGAAGCUUGCGGGGGUGCAUGAUGUAUUCCACAUUUCUAACCUUCGUAAGUAUGUCCACGAUCCCGAGCAUGUCCUGUAUUACGAACCACCGGAUCUACAAGAGGAUUUGAGUUAUGAAGAGUUCCCGGCGAUGAUCAUUGCUCGAGAAGUGCGGAAGCUAAGAAAUCGUGAGAUUCUCUAUGUGAAGAUUCAUUGGACCGGUCACGACGAUCGUGAGGCCACGUUGGAGCUCAAGGAAUCGAUGAAAGUGCAUUAUCCUCAUCUCUUUGAGGAAAUGCAAUGAGGUAUGAGUUAAUUAAGUUAAUGAAUUUGUUUCGAGGACGAAACUCCCUUUUAAGAGGGGAGGAUGUGAGGAAGUGAAUUCUCGAAAUACGAGAGUUAGACUUCAUGCGAAAUCGACCAAGGGUCGUGUUGGUGAGCUUUGGAAAAGCCAAAGAUGUUAAAAUCACCAAAAGUGCUUUGGAAACGAGUCCAUGGGAGCAAAUAGUGCAAAACCUGCACUGGAGCAAAAUUGCUCUCGGGGAUUCUUGAGGCAACCGGUCCCUGGCAGGGAGAGACCGGUCCCCGAACGCGAACCGAGCGAGAAAAGCUGAAAUUUGGCUAAGUCCUGAAAAUUCUACUCUCGGGAACCGGUCUCUCAGGAAGGAACCGGUCUCCCGAGGAUCGGUCUCUCUAGGAGAGACCGGUACCCGAACGCGUGACUCGAGCUGAAGCUCUCGGGGACCGGUCCCAAGUCGGGAAGACCGGUCCCUCUGGGCGCAGAAUGCCCAGUAAGGGGCAGUGCACAGAGUGAAAAGUGGAGGGGCUUGGAUGGAUAUUGUUACAUUAGAGAGUAUAGGGGACCCCCUCUCUCCCUCAGCCUCUCAUUUCUCCCCCUCUCUCACACUCUCUUGCUCUCUCUCUCUCUCUAGAAGAGAAGAAGAAAAAGAAGAAUAAGAAGAAAAGAGAAGGAAGAAAAGGAAGAAGAAGAAGAAGAAGGAGAUCAAGAAAAGAAAGCUUUUGGACUUCUCCCUCUUCCUCUCUUCUCUCUUUUAAGCUAGCAUAGAGGUAAACUUCAAUACCCUCUCAUGGUAGAUGUGCUAGGGUUUGCUUUGAUCUCUUAGAACCUAGCUAGAUGGACUCUAAUGGAUCUCUAGAAGUGGAUGAACUCAUUAUUUGCAUGAUUAAUUGCUAGUAGAUGGCAUUUUGCAAUAUUGGACUUCUAGGGCAUCCAAAAGAGGGUUUUUGGAAAAGUAGAGGAUUGAUCUCAUUUGACCCUCCUCUAACCUAAUUGGUAGGUAUUCCGACGCAACGGUAUGCUCGGUUCGGCAAUCCGACGAGUGUACGCGGAGAUAUCGAAGAUCUAAGCCGCUAAGGUACAGAUUGCCACAGCACGCGGCGAAAGCUUCCAAAAAUCUUGGAAACAGAAUCGUAGCUUCAAGACAUCACCAAGAGGUGGGGGGUGUCAUCC
RNAcentral lists this long non-coding RNA (7921 nucleotides) under Ananas comosus (pineapple). RNAcentral describes it as "long non-coding RNA (ACOM_LNC018128)". The record is from RNAcentral. Lineage: Eukaryota; Viridiplantae; Streptophyta; Magnoliopsida; Poales; Bromeliaceae.